ACGCUUGACACCUACGGUAGGCAGCAGUGGGGAAUAUUGCACAAUGGGGGAAACCCUGAUGCAGCAACGCCGCGUGAAGGAAGACGGUUUUCGGAUUGUAAACUUCUGUUCUUAGUGAAGAUAGUGACGGUAGCUAAGGAGCAAGCCACGACUAACUACGUGCCAGCAGCCGCGGUAAUCUGAGCGGGCUGGCAAGGC
This 198-nucleotide ribosomal RNA is filed under the name uncultured bacterium. RNAcentral describes it as "partial 16S ribosomal RNA". It matches the Rfam family "Bacterial small subunit ribosomal RNA", at positions 328 to 539 of the family's 1533-position model. The record is from RNAcentral.